This 486-nucleotide ribosomal RNA is filed under the name uncultured Methylophilaceae bacterium. RNAcentral describes it as "bacterial SSU rRNA". It matches the Rfam family "Bacterial small subunit ribosomal RNA", at positions 30 to 505 of the family's 1533-position model. The record is from RNAcentral. Lineage: Bacteria; Pseudomonadati; Pseudomonadota; Betaproteobacteria; Nitrosomonadales; Methylophilaceae.
AUUGAACGCUGGCGGAAUGCUUUACACAUGCAAGUCGAACGGCAGCAUAGAGAGCUUGCUCUCUGAUGGCGAGUGGCGAACGGGUGAGUAAUAUAUCGGAACGUGCCUAGUAAUGGGGAAUAACUAGCUGAAAGGUUAGCUAAUGCCGCAUACGACCUACGGGUGAAAGCAGGGGAUCUUCGGACCUUGCGUUAUUAGAGCGGCCGAUAUCUGAUUAGCUUGUUGGUGGGGUAAUGGCCUACCAAGGCGACGAUCAGUAGCUGGUCUGAGAGGACGAUCAGCCACACUGGAACUGAGACACGGCCCAGACUCCUACGGGAGGCAGCAGUGGGGAAUUUUGGACAAUGGGGGCAACCCUGAUCCAGCCAUUCCGCGUGAGUGAAGAAGGCCUUCGGGUUGUAAAGCUCUUUCGCAAGAGAAGAAAACUUGCUAUCUAAUAAAUAGUAAGUAUGACGGUAUCUUGACAAGAAGCACCGGCUAACUACG